GGGCCUGUGGCGCAGUUGGGAGCGCGCAUGAAUGGCAUUCAUGAGGUCACCGGUUCGAGCCCGGUCAGGUCCACCA
This 76-nucleotide transfer RNA is filed under the name Acidobacteriota bacterium. RNAcentral describes it as "tRNA-Ala". It matches the Rfam family "tRNA". Rfam says of the family: Transfer RNA (tRNA) molecules are approximately 80 nucleotides in length. Lineage: Bacteria; Pseudomonadati; Acidobacteriota. The record is from RNAcentral.